RNAcentral lists this non-coding RNA (61 nucleotides) under unclassified sequences. Its description in RNAcentral is "L31-Actinobacteria ribosomal protein leader". It matches the Rfam family "L31-Actinobacteria ribosomal protein leader". The record is from RNAcentral.
UUGGUUCCGGUUCACGCCAAGGAGCAGAUCCAGCUCCGCAUCGAAAUGGCGACCCGGUGCC